This 397-nucleotide unclassified non-coding RNA is filed under the name Hevea brasiliensis (rubber tree). The record is from RNAcentral. Lineage: Eukaryota; Viridiplantae; Streptophyta; Magnoliopsida; Malpighiales; Euphorbiaceae.
GAACCACCACUAAAAUUUAGAUUAGCAGAGUGAUAGAGUAAACCUGGAGAGAAGUCGAAGAAGAGCACAACCAAAAUGUUGAUAACAGUGAGAGAAGCAUGUCCUUUCUCCCCCAUUUGUUUCAACUUCUCUUCUCUUUCUAGUCUCAAUUUCUCCAAACCCUCUCUCAGACUCAAAGCCUCUGUCUGCAGUGCCACCUUCUCUGUCCAAAGCAAACCCAGCACCACCAAGCCCUGGAACACUGCCUUUAACUCCAAAAGCUGUGAGAGCUCAGUCUUUGAUCCCUUGGGUAUUAAUUCAGAUGUAUAUUGUGGACUAGAUUCUGCUUGGGAAAGCAUACUAGCCUUGUUAUCACCAAUAUUUGAGAGUGCCUCAAGUACAAAAAAAGAUAAGCCUU